This 415-nucleotide ribosomal RNA is filed under the name uncultured Butyrivibrio sp. RNAcentral describes it as "bacterial SSU rRNA". It matches the Rfam family "Bacterial small subunit ribosomal RNA", at positions 358 to 774 of the family's 1533-position model. The record is from RNAcentral. Lineage: Bacteria; Bacillati; Bacillota; Clostridia; Lachnospirales; Lachnospiraceae.
GGGAUAUUGCACAAUGGGCGAAAGCCUGAUGCAGCGACGCCGCGUGAGUGAAGAAGUCUUUCGGUAUGUAAAGCUCUAUCAGCAGGGAAGAAAGACCUCGUAAGAGGGGAUGACGGUACCUGAGUAAGAAGCCCCGGCUAACUACGUGCCAGCAGCCGCGGUAAUACGUAGGGGGCAAGCGUUAUCCGGAUUUACUGGGUGUAAAGGGAGCGUAGACGGUGUAUCAAGUCUGAAGUGAAACCCCACGGCUCAACCGUGGGCUUGCUUUGGAAACUGGUAGACUAGAGUACUGGAGAGGUAAGCGGAAUUCCUGGUGUAGUAGUGAAAUGCGUAGAUAUCAGGAAGAACAUCAGUGGCGAAGGCGGCUUACUGGACAGCAACUGACGUUGAGGCUCGAAGGCGUGGGGAGCAAACA